GUGCCAGCCGCCGCGGUAAUACGUAGGGGGCAAGCGUUGUCCGGAUUUAUUGGGCGUAAAGAGCGUGUAGGCGGCUAGAUAGGUCCGUUGUGAAAACUCGAGGCUCAACCUCGAGACGCCGAUGGAAACCAUCCAGCUAGAGUCCGGAAGAGGAGAGUGGAAUUCCCGGUGUAGCGGUGAAAUGCGCAGAUAUCGGGAAGAACACCCGUGGCUAAGGCGGCUCUCUAGUACGGUACUGACGCUGAGACGCGAAAGCGUGGGGAGCGAACAGGAUUAGAUACCCUCGUAGUCC
RNAcentral lists this ribosomal RNA (292 nucleotides) under uncultured bacterium. RNAcentral describes it as "partial 16S ribosomal RNA". It matches the Rfam family "Bacterial small subunit ribosomal RNA", at positions 505 to 796 of the family's 1533-position model. The record is from RNAcentral.